AUGCAAACUCAAUGUUUCUUCUCUUUCUCUUUCUCUCUCUCUCUUUUUUUUUUAAUGCAGGAUCUACUGUCCCUGCCAUACAGCCUGGUCGAGGAUCAGGACUACAAGUCUGAAAAUUCAACCCUCCUCCCCGGUGCCAAGAACAGUCUGCAAGACUCCGUAAGUAGAAGCAUUUUGCUGAACAGAUUAGAUUUUGAAACUCCUUUUGCAUCCUUUUCAGCCUCUUUGGUCUCGGUCAUCAAUCACCGGGAAUGGUUUUUACCUGAAACUGAUCUUGCUGGAGAAGUAACUGGAUUUGAGGGGAAUAAAUUUUCCCGAUCAUGUGCACAAUUUCUAUUAGGAAACACCUGGCCCGUAUUCCCAGCCUCUGGUACAUGGCGUGAGAGCUGUAUUCUGUCCUCUAAAAAGACCAUGUCCUCUUGAUGGACAGAUGUGGGCACAGUGGUUGGUGACAAGGCUGCAGGUCAGUCCCUCUGCCCCCUGGUGUGAGGGCCCCAGGUUGUGGGAGCACAUGAAGAGGUCGACUGUCAUUGGGCUGUCUUCCUGGUAAGGACAGGAAUGCUCACUGAGUGCCCUGGGGUCCUGCAUCGUGGCCUUGGGCUUGGAGUCACUGGGGCUCAUAACUUGGGACGAUGGCAGUGAAUUCCUUUGCAUUCCUCAUCUGUCACCCGUGGAUACAGCGGCCAGGAAGCUCCCUGCACAGAUACUUCUGAAAUCGCUCAUGCACAGACUCUCGGCAAUGCAAUCAUGGUGUGGUGCAUUCCUCAAGUGUAACCUGUUUGUGUGUUGUUGGUGACCUUGCGAUGGCACCUUCAAGGGGCACACAGACUGUGUUGUUUGGUGUUCAUCAUUAUGUAUUUCAUUUUAUGAUGAUCUUCUCUUUAUAGCCAUCACUAGUGGCGUUCCGUUAAUGGCAGUGGUAUGAAAUUUCCUUCAAACAUACUUAAGUUAAAAAACAAAAGUGAGUUGACUCAAAGACAAAAAAAAAAUGGUAUGGACAUAACAGAAUGGAAAUCAUAAUGUAGGUAUGGUGAGACGUUGUGAUAGUGGUAAGUGAAAGGCUGAGAGUAAAUUCUUUUAUCAAAAGAUGUUCAUGGCUAGGCACAAUGGAUCACACCUAUAAUCCCAGCACUUUGGGAGGCCAAGGUAAGAGGAUUGCUUGAACUCAGGAGUUGGAGACCAGCCAGCCUGGGCAACAUCUCUACAAAAAAUACACAAAUUAGGCCAGGCACAGCGGCUCACGCCUGUAAUCCCAGCACUUUGGGAGGCCGAGGCGGGCUGAUCAUGAGGUCAGGAGAUCGAGUCCAUCCCGGCUAACACAGUGAAACCCCGUCCCUACUAAAAGUAGAAAAUAAUAAUAAUAAUAGUAAUACCGGGUGUGGUGGCGGGCGCCUGUAGUCCCAGCUACUCAGGAAGCUGAGGCAGGAGAAUGGCGUGAACCUGGGAGGCAGAGCUUGCAAUGAGCUGAGAUCGUGCCACCGCACUCCAGCCUGGAAGACAGUGAGAUUCCGUCUCAAAAAAAAAAAAAAAAAAAAAAAAAAAAAAAAAAAAAAAUUAGCUGAGCGUGGUGGUGUGCGCCUGCAGUCUCGGCCACUCAGGAGGCUGAGGUGGGAGGAUUGCUUGAGCCCAGGAGGUGGAGGCUGCAGUGAGCCAUGAUUGUGCCACUGCACUCCAGCCUGGGCAAACAGAGUGAGACCCUGUCUCAAAAACAAAAAAACAAAAAGUCUGCUUGGCCCUGGGCCUUGUCCAUGAGUGUGCUCUGUAUUUGGAAUGUUCCCUCCUCUUUAUGCCCUAAUCUAUGCUGACCCUUGGUCCAAACUGGAAUCUUUAAGGGCCCACUGCUAGGUGCUUGUCUCUUCCUCCAAAAUGACUUUUCAGGCUGAGUUUUUAUAAUAAACCUCAUUAAUGGAUCAUCUGAAAGUGGUGUUUACCUGCAAUGCCAAGAAGAGGAGGAAGAAGAGGAAAGGGAUGAUGAAAAAUGACAACCACACACCCAACUUUCUUAUCCCACUUCUCAGUUGACCAAAUGUUCGAUCUCUGUUGUUUUAACAUCCUCUCGAUGACUCCAUAAGGUAAGUGCUGUUUCUGUCCUCAUUUUGUGACUUAGAAAACCGAAACUCAAAGUAAUUGCCCGUGGUAACACAGCCUGGACUUACCCUCUGACCCAACCACAUCAUUGGAGGACCAGGAGUCUUGCAGCUUCACAUCAAGUCUGUGAAAUAUUCUUCCUGUUUUGGAUAGAUGGAAAAAUGAUGUGUGAAGCAGGAAAGUAUUGUAUCGGCUGUCUCUUGCACGUGACAAUUACCCUGAACUUAGUGACUUCAAACAGCAGACUUUCAUUAUCUCACAGUUUCGGCAGGUCAGGAAUCUGGGAGUGGUUUGCUUGGUGGUCUGGCUCAGGGUCCCAUGUGAGCUGGGGCUGCUGUCUUCUGAAGGCUGAAGUGGGGCUAGAGGGUCUGCGCCCAAGGUGGUUCACCUAACAGCUAUUGUCAGGAGGCCACAGAGCUGCUUGAGUGUCCUCAGGACAUGGUGGAUGGUGUCUCCCAGGGUGAGAGAUCUGAGAGAUUAAGAGCAAAGUAGAAGCCACAGGGGAUGAUGGCAGUGAAUUCCUGUGCAUCCCUUAGAUGACGUAGCUACAGAUGUCCUGUGCCAUCGCCUCUGCUGUAUUUAAUCAUUCAUACAACAUAAUCCUCAGGAGAUUGUGAGAGCAUACCAUACGAGGGCAUGAGUACCUGGAGGGGGGAUCAUGGGGCUAUCUUGGAGGCUGGCCACCACACUCUUCAUAAUAUUGGAAUAACUAUGUCUUGCAGUUCCACCCAGGAUGCUUGUAAUGUCACACUGAGUCUGUGGAAAGAAAACAAAGAUACUAAACCCAUUUUGCAGAUGGGGAAAUGAGGCGUGGAGCAGGAAAGUGACAUAUUAAAAAGACUUGAUGUUGGUGGUGCAGACGCUUUUGAAGGGAAAGUAGUUGAAAAAGCUAAUUGCUCACACUAGGAUCAAAGGUGUCAGAGAGGGUUCCAUUUCCCCAGUGGUUCGAAUAGUGCCUGUGUCUGCUAGAUUUCCAGCUGUCUUGGGUUGGGUCAGGUAUUUCCUGGCCCCCAACCUAACUCAUGGAGGCUGAUGCGUUCUCUCUAGUGAAAGGGAUGAUGGUGUCCUGCUGGUUUCUCCUCUGGAGGCUAUAGAGUCUUCUAGGUUUGCAGAGAUUCAUGUUGUGAGGAUCCAUUUGCCUUAACUCGCUCCUUCUUAUCCAGCCUCUGACUGUAGAAGGCCUGCUGGGCUGGGUGCUUCUGGCUGGACUCUCACAGGUCAGCCUCCUGUCUUGCCUUGGAAUGGGUCAUGGAUGGAAGCAGUCAUUUUCACAACCUCUACUGGAGGCAGCAUAAGUUAGCCUGACCGUCUCUGGAUGGCAGAUUGCCUCAUAUUCACAUGUGUCAAAAUGCAAAAUGUGUUCCAUCUUUGAUCUAGCAAUUACGCUUCUGGGAAUUUGCACCUUGGAGAUGAUUGUACACGUAUGAGAUGUGUUUGUAUAUUUAUUAAGGGGAUGAUUGUAGUGGCAAAAAUAAUUUUUCAAAAGAUGCACCCUCAAUAUCCCUCAAUAAGGGAUGGUUUAAGUCAAUUGUGUGUAUCCAUAAAGUCCAAUUCCAAGCUGCUGCUAGGAUUUCAUGGUGAGGAUUUAUGUUUAUUGACUUGGAAAGAUGCACAUGACAUAUUGUUGAGUGAGAAAUACAGCCUGUAUUAUAUGAUUCCAAUUAUGUGCAAACUGUAUUCAUAGAUCUCCAUUUCUCUGAGUGCAGAGAGAUGUCAGAAAGGCAGAUGGAAAGUUCAACUAAAUUGCUGGUUUUUGCAUUUUUCUUUAGACUCUUUUAUUUAUUUUUUCUAUAGUGAGCAGUUAUGUUCUUUGACAGUGGUAGUAAUAACAUAAUAUUAGUAAUAAUGUUGUAAUAAUGUAAUAUAGUAAGAAGCAGUAGUAAUAAUAGUAGUAAUAAUGUAGUAAUAAUACUAGUACUAGUAAUAACUAUUUAUGAAAUUAAGCAGUGUGUUCUGGACUGUUUAGAAGGUUUUCCAGGAGAGCUGACGGCAUAUUCAUUCAAGUUUCAUUCUCCCUUGUCAUGGAAAUGCUGUGACGUUCCUCUAGAGGAGUGAAAAUGGGGUUUGCAAGACUAAAUGUGGCCUCUGGACAGACUCUUUGGCCCUUACCUGCUCCACAAUGCAGAAUGCUCCAGGCCAUGGCAUCUCACCGCCCUUCCUAGUCACUGCCCUGUGUCACCAGUCAGCUGUACUUUUUCUUACCUCCACCUCUCUGCUUUGGCACUGUCUCCCAGAAGGGGCUUUCCCUGGAUGCAGAAAGUACAUUUUGCCAGCAUGCAGAAUAAAAUAAUCAUAAUAGGUAGCAUCUUUGGGAACUAGGAAGUACCUGGCAUUGCACCCACCGUUUCACAGGCAUUGUAUCUUUCUCUCCCCAGAGUAGUACAAGGAGGGAAGACCUAUCCAAACCCCUUGAUUACAAGUGGGGAGACUGAGGCUCAGGGCAUGACUUGCACAGUCUCAUAGCUAAUACGGAAGCAGUCUGAAAUUCAGACCCAGAUCGGGCUGUUUCCCAUGCUGCGUUGAGCUGAGGGAAAGGCCAGCAGGUUCUGUUUGGUGAUGCAGGGAGCAUUCCUGGGAACCUGUGUCUUGGGUGCAAAGUUAAUUCCAGAGUCAUCAGGUAACAUAAAAAUCACACUUGGUCAGUUACUUGCACAAGUCCUGUUAGAGACCAAUCUUUCUGCCCCUUGAUACAUCAAAUACAGCCACACUUUCCUGACUAUUAGAAAAAAUGAGGAUCUUUGCUUAGAUGCCAGAUGAAGUGAUUGUGUUGAGCUGGCAUGCUGGAUGAAUGAAACAUACCUGUCUGUAAACACUGGAGUCAUCUGUGACAUCUGUGAUCAUGUGGCCACAUGAUGGAGAGGCACUUGGGAAUGAGACUGAGUGAGAAACUUGCAGGUACAUGUUCCCUUUUGGGUUCACUCUGGAGCAAACGCAUCCUGAACCCAUGGAAGUGAUGCCGUCCAGCGUAAGAACCGUACUAUUAUUUUUUCUCUCUUUCUUGAUAUAGUAGAAAUAUACUCUCCUAUACCCAAGGCAGACAUUACUAAUCGAUAGUGCCAUUCUCACCUCCUGUACCCAAGGCAGACAUUAGUAAUCAACAGUGCCAUUCCCCUGUUCUAUACUC
Macaca mulatta (Rhesus monkey) is the source of this 5212-nucleotide long non-coding RNA. The record is from Ensembl. NCBI's taxonomy places the organism in Eukaryota, Metazoa, Chordata, Mammalia, Primates, Cercopithecidae.